AUGGCUGAGGCAAGAAGAUCCUUUCAAGCUCCACCACAGACUCGAUUAAACGUAUUACUCCCCAGGCGUCUGCCUCUCUCCUGCUCCAUCUUAUCAUCUCUCUAUCCGUCCUUCACACCCCUGCCCCUCGCUGAGGUAGGAGCGCUGUGUAUUUAAAGGAGACAUCGGGAGAUGGCAGGUGGAAGGCCGGUUUAUCUCAGUCACACAGUAACCUAUGACAGUUAGAGGGACUGAGAGAAAGCCUGAGGCAGUGAGAUAUGCUUCUGAGCUGGGCAGGUCUUAUUCAAAUCUCAUCUGGCAUCCAAGCCCGCAUGCCUUUUCGGCAAACGAGGACUGAGCUCCGGCUUCUCCGGCCCUUUCACCUCUGCCAGACUCCAAAGUAUGCUUUGCUAGGAGGGGUCGUUGCAGCAUUACACAAACGACGGGAAGCAGAUGAGGUGAUUUCUCGCGCAUGACAGACAAUAAUCAAGGAGCUAAUUUUGGAGUCUGCAAAGGCUGCUGAAACUCUUAACUAUCAGAUGAAGCUCUGAGGCCACAGGGGAACCACAGGGAGAUAAAUCCCAGCCAUGUCUCCAUCACUGCACAGCAUAUACUCUCCUCAGACAGGGAAAAAGGAUAUCUGCCUCCCUGGCUUGUCCCCAGACCUUCGGUGAAGAGGGUGGAAGCGGUUCCGAGCUGGCCUCUCCACCAGCCCAUGGUGGCGGGUUCCACGAACAUUAUCAGCUUGAUGAAGUGACGGCUGCAGAGAGAAAGAAGAACAGUUGGCCUCCACCAUGAAACUGCCACUCACCCUCAGAAGCAAGUGGUAACAGACAAAAAGCCAGAGUUUCUAAUUUUAUUAUUGCAUGUUGGUGCUUUGUGUCAAAGUAAAUAAAAUGUCACUUGUGGCUCUAUUUCUACACAAUUCAGAA
Mastomys coucha (southern multimammate mouse) is the source of this 911-nucleotide long non-coding RNA. RefSeq lists it as uncharacterized. The record is from RefSeq and is a predicted model, not a curated record. NCBI's taxonomy places the organism in Eukaryota, Metazoa, Chordata, Mammalia, Rodentia, Muridae. The transcript has 3 exons.